RNAcentral lists this non-coding RNA (24 nucleotides) under Cricetulus griseus (Chinese hamster). The record is from RNAcentral. Lineage: Eukaryota; Metazoa; Chordata; Mammalia; Rodentia; Cricetidae.
UUAAGGUCCCUGAAAAUGGCUACA